CAGCCUGUCUCUGACACUGGGUGCCCUUUUUCUCCACAGGUAAAGGUGGCUAAGCUGGAGAUCAGUCACCUCAGCCCCAGCCAGGACCAUGGAGACAUCCAGAGCAGUGUGGACGUGGGGAAAAUGGAGAGGAUGAUCCCAGCCCAGUUCUGAUGGCUGCCAUGUCCCCUGGCUCUCCUGUGACUGUGACCAGUGUGGAGGAACCCAUGCAAUUCAUCCAAUUGAGCAGGGCAAGAGGAAAACAGAAGGCCAAGGAGGGUUGAGCUUUUUCAUUCCUCAGCCCCUUCACCUCCCAGGACUUGUAUGUAGGAUUUCUUAGUCCCAGACUCACACAGGCUGAUGGCAUUCUCCUGCUGUCCUCUGGGUCCCCAACCCUUCUGCCCUCUCUGUUGAUAUUCAGCCAAAACCAGGGCUUUGCUUAGCCUGGCUGGACUGCUUUGUGACUGUCUGGACAACAAAUAAAGGCUUAUGGUUUGGAGGGGCUGCUUGUUCCACACA
Molecule: non-coding RNA, 498 nt
Organism: Sturnus vulgaris (Common starling)
Lineage: Eukaryota; Metazoa; Chordata; Aves; Passeriformes; Sturnidae
Source: RefSeq, a predicted model, not a curated record